GAUGAACGCUGGCGGCGUGCCUAAUACAUGCAAGUCGAGCGAACGGACGAGAAGCUUGCUUCUCUGAUGUUAGCGGCGGACGGGUGAGUAACACGUGGAUAACCUACCUAUAAGACUGGGAUAACUUCGGGAAACCGGAGCUAAUACCGGAUGAUAUUUUGAACCGCAUGGUUCAAAAGUGAAAGACGGUCUUGCUGUCACUUAUAGAUGGAUCCGCGCUGCAUUAGCUAGUUGGUAAGGUAACGGCUUACCAAGGCAACGAUGCGUAGCCGACCUGAGAGGGUGAUCGGCCACACUGGAACUGAGACACGGUCCGGACUCCUACGGGAGGCAGCAGUAGGGAAUCUUCCGCAAUGGGCGAAAGCCUGACGGAGCAACGCCGCGUGAGUGAUGAAGGUCUUCGGAUCGUAAAACUCUGUUAUUAGGGAAGAACAUAUGUGUAAGUAACUGUGCACAUCUUGACGGUACCUAAUCAGAAAGCCACGGCUAACUACGUG
RNAcentral lists this ribosomal RNA (497 nucleotides) under uncultured bacterium. RNAcentral describes it as "partial 16S ribosomal RNA". It matches the Rfam family "Bacterial small subunit ribosomal RNA", at positions 28 to 507 of the family's 1533-position model. The record is from RNAcentral.